GGACUUAAAAUCCGUCGACUUUAUAAGUCGUGAGGGUUCAAGUCCCUCUAUCCCCA
This 56-nucleotide transfer RNA is filed under the name Calamagrostis arenaria. RNAcentral's name for it is "partial tRNA-Leu". It matches the Rfam family "tRNA", at positions 28 to 71 of the family's 71-position model. Rfam says of the family: Transfer RNA (tRNA) molecules are approximately 80 nucleotides in length. Their secondary structure includes four short double-helical elements and three loops (D, anti-codon, and T loops). RNAcentral also lists the same sequence under 7 other names. The record is from RNAcentral. Lineage: Eukaryota; Viridiplantae; Streptophyta; Magnoliopsida; Poales; Poaceae.